CUGGUACAAGCUGUCAACAACCGGUGUGGUUGUUAGAUACAUGUAGUGAUAUUUGUAGUUAAUCGAUCACAAACUGUGAUUCUGUAGCUGGCAAACAUCUAUUAUUGAGCAGAGAUGGAAGCGACUGAAAAAAAUAAUGCAUGUAACAGUAGCGAGUUUAGAAGAAGCGAGUUAUCAGACACAGAACUCGAGAUUGUGGGGCAACCCUACUCCAUCUCGGUGCUCAAAGUAGGCUAUUGUCUGUCCGAACAGGACGGUUCUUUUCGAGCAGACGGGACUAUCUCUCUCCUAACGGGACCUAGAACUAUUCUAGUAGACACCGGAGGACCGUGGGACCGGGACUUUCUAGUGAAAAGGCUGAAGGAUAAGCGACUAGACCCGGGUGAUAUCAGUUUGGUGGUGGGGACACACAAUCACUUCCUUUUUGGUGGUUGUAGAAUUUAAGAGCUCUUUUCUGGAUUUUGAUAAUUAGCAGUCCACAAUUCAGCAGCCUAAUAACCACAAUAGCCGGUCUCCUAAGAUGAAGGAGAAGGACCAUCACCAGAGGUCGGAGGACAGAGGCUCAGAACCCUGGAACAAGCCCAACCUCAGUGACAAGCAGGCUGUCUUCUAUGACAUAUGACACCCUAUUCCCUAUAUGGUGCCCUAUUGAUAAAAUAAUUUGUAUGUUUAAAGAUAAUAAUUAAAUAAUUCCACUCUAAAACCAUAUAAUUGUAUGAAAUGUAUUAUAAUCAUAAAACUAUAAUCUGAUGAUGUGUGUAGUUUUAGUCAGAAUUAGAACGAGGACCUUUUGU
Salvelinus namaycush (lake trout) is the source of this 794-nucleotide RNA transcript. It is a transcript of the gene named metallo-beta-lactamase domain-containing protein 1-like, with no coding region annotated. The record is from RefSeq and is a predicted model, not a curated record. The transcript is spliced from 2 exons. NCBI's taxonomy places the organism in Eukaryota, Metazoa, Chordata, Actinopteri, Salmoniformes, Salmonidae.